Amaranthus tricolor (Joseph's coat) is the source of this 1286-nucleotide long non-coding RNA. RefSeq lists it as uncharacterized. The transcript has 4 exons. The record is from RefSeq and is a predicted model, not a curated record. Lineage: Eukaryota; Viridiplantae; Streptophyta; Magnoliopsida; Caryophyllales; Amaranthaceae.
CCCGAUACAAAUAUGAAGCAUCUAUUUUUAAUUUUGUUCAGCCACUAAAGUGAAAUUAGGUUAAGCGCCUUUUCUUGUUCAACUGCUUCCAUUUGUAUGGUUUGCCGCCUUUGUAUUUCAUUUGUUUGUACUGCCCAUUAAACUGAAGCUGCUUCAACAAUUUUGUUCAGCCACGAAUGUGCGGCCAUUUCCUUCCUCCUUCAACAAUUUUGUAUUUCAUUUUUUUGUAGUGAAAUUAGGUUCAAGCUGCUUAAUUCCUUCCAGCUGCCACGGUAUUGUUUCAUCUCUGCCUACUCUAGAGCUUGCAAAACAUAAUGUUGCUAUCAAUGGAUUAAAUGCUGAGGCAAUAUCCUUCUUAAAACAAGAUGCAACCAACUUCAUGAAGAAUGCAGCUGCUCGAAAUGAGACUUGGGAUAUUGUCAUCUUGGAUCCUCCUAAAUUGGCUCCGCUCAAGCAGUUUCACUUUGCUGUUGUUCAGGUCAGUCUUUCAGUGAUCCUAACGGCUACUGGGGUAAUUAUCGCAGCACUUGUAGAUUUUUCCUUCCGACUUUUUUGGUUACAGCUUGGCACUGACUUCUGUCUUUUUUCAUGUAAUCUCUUUUGUUUUUCUUUCUAAAUGCUAUUUAGGAAUUAAGUGACACCUUGGCACUGAUUCGUUGUUGCUUCUCUGUUGUGCAAUGUUGUUGAUGACCCAAGCUUAGUACAUUUAGGAAUUAAGUGUAGAUAAGGGUUAUUAAGGAUCAAUAACUCAAGUUCAGUACAUUUAGGAAUUAAGUGAUUAGUACUUUUGUCUCCGAUAUGGAGUAUCAAGAGUUAUUGAUUUUACUUUCUCUUAGUUCAUCACCCGUCUUCAACCGUCAUUAUUGUUUUUACUUGUACUUUUAAAUUACAUGCUUGCUUUUUGAGAACUCUUUUAUUUUGUUCAUGGUUUUCAAGGUGCUUAAAAGGUUCCAAACAACUUGAGAUCACAUACAUACUUGCUCCUGGUGUAUACAUCUGAAAUGUGAUUUGCAACAAGUGUAUGAUUUAAGAUCAAGAACAUAUAGCCAAGAUAAAAUAGAUGAGGUUCGUGAGCAAUGGGCAAAGUUCUUUAGAUUGAAUGUUUUGUUAAACUAAAUGUAAAUUUGUACAAGCAAUAGUAGUACUACUAUUCGAUCGUAUGUGAUCAUAUAUAUAAAAAUAGUGAUGGAUGUUAUGUAAAAGAAUAUUUUUGAAUUGAUGUACGUAUUAUUUAAUCGUAUAUUAUAUAUUGUAGACUCAAAUGACCUCUAUAAAUAUAUUAUAUU